UCUAGCAGACGGCAGGUGGCGUGAUUCUCCUGUGGGAGCCGGUGGAGAUUGGCCAGGGGGAACUGGCUCUCUCGAAAAGUCCUUUCCAAUUGGAGUCCUCAGUGCCAGCUGUAGUUCAAGACUCAUUUUGUCACCACUGCUGCCAGCAGGGGGAGUCCUGCUCCCUUAAAUGCCAUCCUGCUAGAACGGCUCCAUGUCCAUGUGGAAGUGGUACCGCCACACCCUUUCCUGCUGUGGGGAGGCCAGUGGGGAGCCAGAAGGCACUUGUGUGGGAAAGGAUGCCAGGAAUGGAGACUGGCCACCACAGAGGCGAGCUUUGCAGGAAACACCUCCAUCUGGUCCUCUACUCUGCACAUGGUACAGGUAUUUGGUGUGGGGUGGGGGUGGGAGGUCAUGCAGAUUUCAAACCACAUGUUUCCAAACCCCUCAGCAGCUGCCUUUUAUCUAUUAGAUCUCCUAUCUAGGAUCCUUUUAGUGGAAAUAUUUUAAAAGUGUCCUCUUCCCCCCCACCGAGUGUGAAGUUUUUGACUUAACACUCACAACUUCUCUUUUGCUAGAUGGCCCAGAAAGCCGUUCAAUUUCCCCCUUUGUGUGGAACCAUUUGAUUUUUAACUUGUCGGUUCUCCUUGGCCACAUCUCCUAUCUUGCCUUAUCGGCUCUCCUCCCUUCUGUAAAUAGCCCUCGGAUCCCAGCUGUGUUCCCCGGCACGGGAUUGCCAAAAGGCAGGGCACACAGGCCACCACAGCAGAAAGCCAGUUGGAGCUGGGGCUUUUAGUGGAACCUGACACUUCAGUAAUAUCUUGGCUACAAAGCCCAAGAUCAGGAGCAGCUCGACACAGACAGUAGUAGUUAUUCCCCAGAUUAAACACUUGCUGUCUCUCAGGACUUGGUCAAGACUGGUUUGCACUGUAAUUUCUUGGGUACCUGUCUCUUCCCCAUUGGAGUCUAAACUCCUUCAGGGAAGAGAUUACAUCUAAUGUUUUUCUCCCAAAAAGCAAAAAACACUACAUAUUAAGUAUUCAAACGAGUUGUCUUCAGUGGGACCCCAGAUGCCUGAAAAUUUAACAGUGCGCUCACACGUCACUGACCAGAAUCUAGAAAAGGAAGACCCUACCAGCCAGGGAAGUGAGUCACUUAGGUGGCCACCGGUGCAAGAACAGACUGGAGAUCUCUUAUCGGUUCCCUGACAUGCUCUGCUCUGCCCCACCUCCAGGCCUCUUGCACACAACUGUAUGUGUCACUGGGGCGUGUUGAAAGGUGGAGUGAAGGUUGUUGCUGGUAUGUUCUGCUCCACACUUAGUAAUUCUGGCAAAGAAAUUCCAGAGCCUUCAAUGUUCCUACUGUACUCCCCAACCCCCUCCCCAGUCACUGGAGGUCUUUUCUGUUUUGGGCAUUUGCUCAAGAAUACCCUUGAAUCUUGCCUGAGGUUUGACUGAGCUCUAUUGGAAUGGCUGGUUUUAGUUGGAAUUCCACGGAGAACCUCAUAAGACUCAGUAGUCAGGGGAGAUGACCCAUGUAGUGUCUUUACUUUGCAGACCGAGACAAGCCCAGCACCUCACACACCACCACUCCUUCAGGCACUGGAUGUGCACGGCUAGUGUUUUACUCCACGGGGUUGGCCGGCUGGGCUUAAGUCAAUAUCACAACAGGUUGGAUAAAUGGGCACCAGAUGUUGGGUUGAAGGCUUACCCAGCUGUUCAUCAAAACAACUUGGUUGAUUUUAUCUCAGUUCAGAAUCUCUUCUCUCUCCAACUGAUUGCCUAAUCCCAGAGUCAAAGAUCUUAAAAUUCAAUCUUAAACAGGAGACUGAAAAGCAAACAAUUUCUCAAGAAGUUUCAAAUAUAUUUGUGGGAGUUGGGAGUGGACAAAUAUUCUUUUUUUUUUUUUUUAAUCUAGGAGGUGGUCCUUUUGAAACUUCACAUGAAAAAGAUGAGUACUCUUGGCCUUCCAAAUUUGAAGUGGCAUUUAAAUUUGAUUUCCAUUUUUCUUAAUGCCAGAGAAGCUUUGAGGCAUUUCUUAUUCAUUCUCCAGGGCUUCAUUGGGUUUUCAGCCUAUUUCAAAGAUAAUGAUGUCACUACCUACAGUGGAGUGAAGUCUUUACAAGGCAACUCAUUUGCCUAAAAUGUCUGGGAAGUCACAUCCAGACAAAGAAAUUACCAAGAGCAUUUUCUUCAGGUAUAAAAAAGUGUAGUUUAUUCACCCAGAACUUUGGUUUCUUUGAGAUGUCGAGUGUCCCAUUUUACGACUUAAAAGACUGCUUUUUAUCUGGUAAAAUCUCAUCCCAGCUGGAGUUACAGGACAUGCUGAUCUGGAGCCUUGACUGAAUUGACAGCCAUCCACACUCAGAACCGCAGUGCUUUUGGUCUCCUGCUUUGUGGACAGGGAUAAGAGGGUAACCCACAGGGUAAACCCAAGAAAAUUCACCAGAAUGUCUUGUGCUAAUAGUUUAACGAAAUUCUCCCUCCAGCACUUUCUGACAGGGCAUGGGGAUUUUCUCGUGUCAUCAGACUUCAGGAGUGAUUAUGUCAUCCAGGUGCAGGUGUUCUUGGCUAUCCUUUACCUGUUGUCUCCUCAUGUCACAUAUAGCCAAGAAAGCAGAUGACAGGUUCAUCUCUGUUACACACGGAAUUGCCAAGUGGUUGCCUAGCAACUCAGCACAAUCAACAUGGUCUCUGUUGUGGAAUGUAGAGUGGUUGGCUUUCAAGAAUGACUGUAUUUGCAUAUUUCUUUGGGGCCUCCAGAAAAAUAGGUAUGUUUUCCUGGAUUUAAGGUUAUUAAAAUGGCCUUUUGUAUUGCUUCACCCUAGUACUCAUUUUAUAAAGUGACAGUCAUCUAAUCAAACUGUUAACAUAGCAAUUGCUUCGAUUAAAUUCAAUUCAAUAAGCAUCCUCUAUAUACGGGAUACUAUACCAGAUACCAUAAAGAGUUAUAAGGAAGAACAAGUGUGGUCCCUGUCUCAGGGAACGUCUGUGUUUAGUAGAUGUGUAUAAAUCUGUUGUUUACACGUGUGAAACAGACAGCUAUGAUGUGUAUGAAAAAUAAAGGUAUUUUUAUUUGGAAGGGUUCCUUUGUGUUUGAUCAAAGGAUUUUUCACUUUUAUUUAGAUUCCUUCCUUUAUAGCUUAUAGCGACGAUCCGUUCAAAAAGCUGCAAUCAGUUCAAAAUCACUUUUAAGACCUCACUCUUAUUGGCAUCUCAGUAAUUAGCAGCUCUUACCCAGCUCGUGUUGGAUGUGACACCGCCAGUGUUGUCGGCUGGCGCGGCGCUGCCCUGCGUCUGUACCGCGGUCUUUCUGCAUAAUUGCUGCUGAGAUGCUCACAGCCUUCCCACCUCUAUUCUGCACAUUCCAGUUUAAAAGAAGCCCCUUGCCUUUCUUUGUCUACUUUGCAGCAGUGCCAUCAGCCUCUGUCCACUUAAGGAGAGACUUUAGAAUGUUCCAUAUCUUGCAUCAGGAAGUCUUUUGAUCACUCGAGCGAAGUUCUUUCCCACCGGAAAGAUGGUUGCUAGACAGAGCCUGGGGUUUGACCAGCCCCUUUCCCUUGAGUUGGUUUGCUUGGUGGAUUGGUCUCGCAUCUUCCUCAAGAAGGCACCAGGGCCUGGCGUGAAGGAACUGUUCCUGACGGCUUUGGUGCACACCCUGUGCACCCUCAUUAGCUGCCCCUCCUGAGUGGACUCCAUCUGGAAUCCACAAAGAAAAGAGGAAGCCUUUGAGGGCAGCUGGGCUGUGGCACCAGCGUUCUCCUCCACCACCUUCUGUUAGCACGCUGUGGUUUCUGUGCUCGCCUUCCCCAGAUCCAGCGUGGGACUGGUGUCUCGCUCAUCGUCUCCACCAUCUAGUUCCCUCGGAUCUUUUGCCAUUCUCAAGAAAUCACCCAGACCUCUUGUGUUCACCCAGAGCAUCUGACCUUUGCUUCCAGAUCCGAUGGCAGGCAGAAGAAAGGGGGCAGAAGGGAGAGGAGGACCAGACAAAAGGAGACACUGUAUUGAUGUUUGCCUUCUUGUUCUUGAUUUUAUCCUCAUACGUCUUCUCGUCUUCUUGGUAGCUCCUGCUGGCCCGCUCUGCAGAUGAAACUCCAGAAGUGCUAAUACCCACCGUUCUACUGAGCAUGAGCAUAUUGUCCCAAGGCAGCUCUUCACUUAUGAUCAAACCAACCAACAUUUACCAUGUGCUGUGUGUCUCCUAAGGGUCAGGGACAUGGUAAAGAAUAACACAGUUUCUACCCCUGAGCAGGUCACCAGUCGGUUCUGUUAGGUGCUAUAAUGAGGACUGGGAACAGAGACAGAAGAGCAGUGAGUUCAGGUAGAGGGUGGGAGUUCAGGAAGAGAUGUGUCUAACCCUUCAACUAGACCCGGGAGGCUGGCGGACCAGGGAGGUCUCUCUACUUACCUUUAGGAAUGGGCCAAGAGCAGAGCGUCUGUGUCCCUUUGAUGUUAGGAAAUCCUUUAUUGCUCUGAUCUAAAUUCUUUCCCCUGCAGUUUAUACCCUGUAUUGCCUCUCAUUCCAAUGUCAGUUGAAAUAGCAAAAAUCAUUGCCUAGUAACCUAGUCAGUCAGAAGCCUUUAGUAAAUCAUCUCUGGUACUCUACCUUAACACAGGACAAAACCUAUUUUCCUCCUACCCCAAACCCUGCAGCUUGACUUCUCCAGCUGCUGCCCCGGGGAAGAGUUUCUGAGAGGUGCCCCCCUAUUAGGGUGCUUCCUGGAAAGGUGGGGGGAGACAGGGCAAUCAGCUAUGGAGAUGCGUGCCCCAAAUAAUUGCACUUGGAAGAGUCUGCACUGUAAGCAUGUUUCAGGGCAUCUUCACUAAAGACAGAAUUUUUGAGGUUGAAUGACAUAGUAGAAGAAUAAAGUCCAGUGUUUACAACAUCCCACUACCAGCCUUCACCAGCCUGUGGGUUGUCAUAUUGACAUCCAGACGUAAAUUUCCUUAGUUCUGAGCCCUCUUGAAGGCCUAUAGAACUUUCUCCUGGUCCCCUCCUCCUACUAACUCACCUUCAGUGAUUUGAUGCCCCUGAGGGAUCUGGUUCAUGGCAGAUCCAAGAUGCUCUCCCAUUGCAACCUCCCCAUUGGUGGUCUACUCUUCACAACCCCUUACAAAAGGGUACCUCAUCAGCAUGUGUGUCUCCUGUGAGAACAGUGUUUUUAUAAUGGUCACUUGUGCUGGGCACAGCCUCUCCCAAGUCACCUGCUGGGGACAGCCUUCUCUCCCAAGUCACCAACUUGCACAAGUGGAGGGCAGGAUGGAACACUGGGGAACAAAUGACCUUCUUGCUGAUUGGCUGUACUUUGUUACCUGUGUCCCAAAGCAAAACUGUUUGUAUGUUCAGUUGCUCAAAGUCUUAACUUGAUUACUCCUCUUUCAUCCAACCUCAUCUCUCACUGGGGCUAGAAAGGAAUCUCUCAGGCCAACAUGGCCAAGAUGGGGGUUGACAGUUCAUCAGUUCCUUCCUUGCUCUUUCUCCACAGGGAGCUCCUCACCCAAACUAACCAACUCACACAAAACAAAACAAAACAAAACAAAACAAAACAAAACAAAACAAA
Lynx canadensis (Canada lynx) is the source of this 5539-nucleotide long non-coding RNA. RefSeq lists it as uncharacterized. The transcript is spliced from 3 exons. The record is from RefSeq and is a predicted model, not a curated record. Lineage: Eukaryota; Metazoa; Chordata; Mammalia; Carnivora; Felidae.